Long non-coding RNA from Balaenoptera ricei (Rice's whale), 2416 nucleotides. RefSeq lists it as uncharacterized. The record is from RefSeq and is a predicted model, not a curated record. NCBI's taxonomy places the organism in Eukaryota, Metazoa, Chordata, Mammalia, Artiodactyla, Balaenopteridae. The transcript has 5 exons.
GCUCCGCCCAUGGUCGGCCUUGGAGGGGUUCUCGCGGUGGAGGUUGCGGUGAGAGGUGCCUUGAGGUCUUCUCGCCGGGGCCUCCAGGCCCUCCGGCCUUGGAGCGGGCGGGUGAGCUGGGCCCCCCCCCCCGGGCACAGGCUGGCGACUGUGUCCUGCCAGAGCUCCAGAGCCCUCCCAUGGCCGCCCACGGGCCAGGCCUAGGCUUGAAGCAGCGGCGAACCUCUCCCCAUCCCGGCCUCGGCGACCUGCCGGUGGCGGCAGUCACCCUGGGUCUCGGUGCACAGACCGCCCCCCCCCCCCCCCACUCUGGUCCCGUUUGGGUGGCCUGAGGAGCCUGCGGGCCGGCUGAGUCCUGGGCGCCGGACUCCCUCGGUAAUGACGGCUGGGUACCGUCUGGGGACCUGGCCUGAGGGCGCCAGCAGCUGAGAGCUGCCUCUUCAGCCGUGCCUGGGCGCUGGCGGGAGGACCCAGUCAGGGUGACCGGCCCGCGCAGGGACCCCGUCCUCUUAGCCGGGGCCUGGACCUCGGAGAGUGAAAGUUGUGCCUUGGGACCUUGCCCUUUCUUGUCAGAACAGAGACUAGCAUUUGUUUGGUGGAGAUUUAGAAGAACAUUGUGACCUGGCCAUGACCUGACCUCCAGAACAAAGGAUCUGCCGCAAGGAAAUUUGCAGCAACUAACCACGCCCCUCCCUCACCUUUCCUAGAAAAGGGCUUUGCUGAAAUAUUUCGGAGAGUUUGGGGUUUUAAAGGCAUGAGCCACCCCCUCCUUGCAGCGCCCCGCAAUAAACCUUUCUCUGCUCGAAACUCCGACAGUUUGGUAUUGUUUGGCCUCACUGUGCGUUGGGCGCAUGGACCUGCGUUCGGUAACAGUCGGACUUCUACUGCUGAACAUCCAAUCUGCCAGUAGAAGAGACCAAAGCUGAGUAAGUCUAUGACACCAUCCCAUCAGUAAGGCCAGCCAGCUGCUAUUGACUGUUCAUUUGCCCUGGACCCCUUCUACUUUGGAAAAGACAAUUCAUCUUCACUAGGAUUGACAUUGGGUAACAGUUUGCCUUUUCUGUCUGCAUCAUUACUCAGCCAGCACCGUUCCUCCCAAGGCUUACAGAGGGCUUGAUCUUCCAACAUGCAAUCUUGCAUAGCAUCUUGUCAGUCCAAGCGUGGGCAGAGGGAGCAUGGCAGUGGGCACAUGAACAGGGGAUCCACUGGUCUUACCAUGUACUCUACCAUCCAGAAGCUGCCGGCUAGAUAGGACAGUGGAAUGGCCUCUUCAAAGUGCCGCUGAGGCAUCUCUUUUGAGAUGACACCCUCUAAAGAUGGGGCGUUUCCUUUGGUGCUGGGUCGCCAGUCGACAGACCACAUGGGUCCAAGAACAAGCAGUGGAAGUUGGAGUACCUCCUACAACUGUUAUUCCCAGUGACCUUGAAGAAUCUGUGCUUCCUGCUUCUGAAUCUGUGAGUCUCCGGGUCGUGGUUCCUGAAAGACUGGUGCUUCCGUCAGAGGACACAGUUCAGCGCGUCAGGAUACCUGGAUUCCUGUCCUGGCUCUGACAUUCAUUCGCUGGAGAAUUGGGGUGAAUAUCUUCUCCCCCUCCUGCCUCAGACUGGGUCCCCUGCUCCCUCAUCUGACUGUACGUGGUGGCCAUGCCCCAGACAGCAGCCUUGACCUCAAGUUUAUCCAGCCCUCCAGCUCCACAGCCCAAUGCUGACCUCAGUGCCUGCCUCUACCAGGAGAGAAGGUUGCUUGGUCCAUGGAGUUAUGGCUGGACUAACUCCAGAUGAAUGGUUAUUCCCAGAAGACGCUGAGGGAUCUGCACAGAGUGGACGGUGGGACAGGUCUGUGGGUGCUGGCGUGGCAGGCAGAUCUUGUUCCAGGAAUGCUGCCCACUUCGUAGGCUGUGACCGAGGAGGACCCAGCAACCGGAAGAUGAGAGCUCAGAUGCGAUGGUUGGAGUUUGGGCCUUUAUCUUUGAUCAUGAGAACACGGUCUCAUUGGGACAGACUGGGACCUGGGACCUGGGACUCUUUACUGCAGAGCUUGCACCUGGGCAAACGUCUCCUUGAGCAACAAAAUACAAAGAGACUAUGAGGGCCUAAAAAUAACUGCAUGCAUGCACAGUUGGGGCAAAUUAUGGACAAGACACAAAAAGACCAAAAACUCAACUGCCACUUCUGAAGAACUGGGAGCAAAAACAGGGUGCCGGGAGCAAAAACAGGGUGCCGGGAGCAAAAGCAGGGUCCUACGCAUGCCCCCUGCACACAACACCACCUAAGGGGUGGGCAGACCACCUCAGCCACCUCUCGGCCCGACCCCUGGACCAUCCCUACCCUCACCCCAUAUAAGGACCCCCCCCUCGGGACGUGAGCAAGGGAACUUGUUACUUGUUUUCACUCCCUCCUGCUGUAGCAGGGGCCCC